Molecule: non-coding RNA, 945 nt
Filed under: Eleutherodactylus atkinsi (Atkin's robber frog)
Lineage: Eukaryota; Metazoa; Chordata; Amphibia; Anura; Eleutherodactylidae
Description: 12S ribosomal RNA
Rfam family: Bacterial small subunit ribosomal RNA
Source: RNAcentral
CAAAGGUUUGGUCCCAGCCUUAUAGUCAAUUACUACUUGACCUACACAUGCAAGUUUCCGCACCCCUGUGAAAAAGCCCAUAAAUCCUAAUGAAUUUAAGGAGCAGGUAUCAGGCACAACUAUUUGCCCAAGACACCUAGCCAUGCCACACCCACAAGGGAAUCCAGCAGUGACUAAUAUUGAACAUUAACGACAGCUUGAUUCAGUCAAAGUAAACAGAGCCGGCAAAUCUGGUGCCAGCCGCCGCGGCUACACCAGAGACUCAAAUUGACCACCACCGACGUAAAGCGUGAUUAAAGAUUUUAAAAACUAGAGCUAAACCCAGAUUAAACCGUAAAACAUUUAUCUGAGAGAAACGCACAACGAAAGUCGCUCUACCCAUAACAACUUGAACACACGAAAGCAGGAAUACAAACUGGGAUUAGAUACCCCAUUAUGCCUGGCCGUAAACUUUAACUUACACCUUAAUCGUCAGGGAACUACGAGCAAAGCUUAAAACCCAAAGGACUUGACGGUGCCCCAUAUCCCCCUAGAGGAGCCUGUCCUAUAAUCGAUAAUCCCCGUUUAACCUCACCAUAUCUAGCUUAUCAGCCUGUAUACUUCCGUCGCAAGCCUACCACAUGAGCGAAGCUUAGUUAGCCCAACGUCCACACAUAAAUGUGCUUAUGUCGACAAUACGUCAGGUCAAAGUGCAGCAAACGUUAUGGGAUGAGAUUGGCUACACUUUUUAACUUAAAAGAAACGGAAAACAAUAAUGAAACUUUGUCAGAAGGUGGAUUUAGUAGUAAAAGAAAAAUAUAAAAUUUCUUUUAACUCGGCACUGGGGUGUGUACACACCGCCCGUCACCCUCUUCGAAAAUCUUAAAUUAGUACUUAACCAAUUAUCAAAAAUAAAGAGGAGGCAAGUCGUAACAUGGUAAGCGUACCGGAAGGUGUGCUUGGAAA